UGUAACGGAUCACCUGGCACCCCGACUGGGUACCUCCGUUGAAGGAUGCUCCUAGCGCUUCCUGAGGGCUCCAAGCACUCUGGCAGACACCACAAUCACCGAACCGGAGAAAAAAAUAAAUUCUCCCAAGCAUUUGAAUGCUGUAGACAGUUGAAUAGGAACCAUACGAAUAGGUUUACUCUCCUAGCAGUCAAACUGGAACAGCAUACAACGAAUCCUUCCCCCAAUAAUGAGACGACACUUCACUUUGAGCGUUAAAACAGGAACUCCCUGUACUGUCACAUACAGUCUCUUUUAUUCCCAAUCCACAAACAUAGUACAGCCCACAGGGC
Pelobates cultripes (western spadefoot toad) is the source of this 332-nucleotide non-coding RNA. The record is from the annotation of a GenBank genome assembly. NCBI's taxonomy places the organism in Eukaryota, Metazoa, Chordata, Amphibia, Anura, Pelobatidae.